Molecule: non-coding RNA, 584 nt
Organism: Schizosaccharomyces pombe (fission yeast)
Lineage: Eukaryota; Fungi; Ascomycota; Schizosaccharomycetes; Schizosaccharomycetales; Schizosaccharomycetaceae
Source: the annotation of a GenBank genome assembly
AACAAUAAACUAAUCACGAUUGUAUUGCACAAGAACCAAUGAGACGUGUUCUAAAGGACAAGGAAAAAACUUACAGCCACGACGGUUGACAGCAAAACCGCUAUAAUCGCCCAUUUUAUUGGAUUUUUCAUGACAAUAUUAAAAGACUGGGAUGCAAAUAGUAAUUGCAAUGUUUGUUGAGCGUAGAUGCAAAGUUUGGUGUAGCUGAAAUUUUAAAGGUAGUUAACAAAUUCUUCGACGUAUUGUGCGCACACCAAAAAAAAGCAGUUAUAAUUAAAUGAAUUCAGAAAAACAACCACAUUUUGAAAAUAGGCCUGUGUCUUUGGUUAGUAUCGGUAAAACAUUUUCAUUUAUUUUCUGGCCUUCACGUGGCAUAUGCCAAAAACCUCUAAUUUGUUUUAAAACAGGUUUUUAACUCUUAUCUUUCGAAAAGUUGUUAUAGUUACCACUUGACUGUAUAUUAAUUGAUCAUUAGUGGGUAUAAUACAAGCAUUAGGACUUGCAAAUGCUCAUAAUUUUAUGCCUUUUUUUUACUUUCAUGUAUUACUUGUUGUAGCAAUAGGAACCAAUGCCAAUCCUUUUAA